RNAcentral lists this long non-coding RNA (1407 nucleotides) under Gallus gallus (chicken). RNAcentral describes it as "lncRNA (ENSGALG00010015102.1)". Lineage: Eukaryota; Metazoa; Chordata; Aves; Galliformes; Phasianidae. The record is from RNAcentral.
AUCUCUUUCUGGAGAUCCCUCCCUGGUGGAGCUUUCCCCUGUGAACCUGGCAUCUUCUGUAAUAGAGCAGACUGAAAGACAGCGCACCUCAGGAUGAGAGGCACUACAUACCUUGUCCUCCACAUUGCUCAGGAACCAGGACUGCAUUCCUGUUGGCCUCACGAACAGGCUGAAUUAUUGCAUAACACCCAGUGGAGGCACAGUUCCACAGGUGAAGGCAAAACAGCAGCAGUGGGUACUAACAAAACGUUUUUAAUACCGCCUUGCCAACCUGCCCUCAGCCUACACCUGGGGAGCACUGCUGAGGGGCAGCACAGACACUCUACCAGCCUUUUGCCACCAUGACCAAGGAUUUAAUGGAGACUCUACUGGUCAGCUGCCCAUGCACCACUUAUAGAUGUUAACAGGAAGACCCCUGCAGAGGGGCUAUCCAGGAAGAGCAGAAUUCACUAGGUGUGCUGAGCCCUGUCAGAAGCUACCCUGACAAUCCAGCCCAGGAGAAAAUGAGUCUGGACCCCUCAGCAGGAUUUAUCACGAGCCAUGAGACUCAAUUCAACACUACAUGCUUUGUUGUUUCCCCUGCUUCUACCCCCUGUGGAUGCUAGCACUUCUACCUUUAUGGAGUACAGUUCUCCACAUGUCCUGACCUUCAACUUUACAAUUUAACUGUAGUUAAAACACAAAGGAUUCCUGGCUGCUAGUUUUGGCUUCUAGUUCCAGAGAAAGACAGAAGCUACAUACUUCACUCUGUGGCUGGGCUAGAGUUGAUAGUUUGCUUCAUGGCUGUUGUCCAUAAAGCCUAUCAAAACUGGUUAUAUUCUGGCUCUCAUCUGGAUAGGUGUUAGAUAUGUAUGUGUCAGGCAACUCUCAUAAAAGAAAUGCAAGAUAAGGGGCAAGUCUGUGGUGUGCUGAAUACACUGAUUUCUGUGAUUCUUUGAAAGCAUAAAACUGUGGUCUGUGUUAAUGGUGUACAAACAGAAGCAGACAUAUUCUGUCCGGUGGUACCACACAGUAUUAAUGAUCUUUCACACCUUUAGAGAAACUUUUUGUAUCUAUACAACCAAAGUAUCCCAGCCCCCCCUUGACUGUGCCAGUGUUCAUCUAACUUGAGAGAAAGCAAACAUGUAUGGAUAGCUAGGGUAAUAUUUUUCACUAUCACAAGAGAUUCUUAAGUUUAGACAGUUUUCACAUAAACAUGAUUUUAUAAGUUGCCUAUGACCCAGAAACAUAACAUUUUAGUAAGUGAAGCCCUUCACUUCAUAUACUAGAGCACUUAAUUACCCUUUCAGCAAAAUUGAUUGUAGCAAGAAUGUGUCGUCAUCAUCAUCCCCCCCCCCCCCUUAGAAAAAGAAAACAACUUUUAGCCAAAUAAAAUUAAGAAACUAAUAAAUUCCAGCAGCAAUUAAG